This 253-nucleotide ribosomal RNA is filed under the name uncultured bacterium. RNAcentral's name for it is "partial 16S ribosomal RNA". It matches the Rfam family "Bacterial small subunit ribosomal RNA", at positions 524 to 776 of the family's 1533-position model. The record is from RNAcentral.
UACGGGGGGGGCAAGCGUUGUUCGGAAUCACUGGGCGUAAAGGGCUCGUAGGUGGCCAACUAAGUCAGACGUGAAAUCCCUCGGCUUAACCGGGGAACUGCGUCUGAUACUGGAUGGCUUGAGUUCGGGAGAGGGAUGCGGAAUUCCAGGUGUAGCGGUGAAAUGCGUAGAUAUCUGGAGGAACACCGGUGGCGAAGGCGGCAUCCUGGACCGACACUGACACUGAGGAGCGAAAGCCAGGGGAGCAAACGGG